Molecule: long non-coding RNA, 814 nt
Organism: Cygnus atratus (black swan)
Lineage: Eukaryota; Metazoa; Chordata; Aves; Anseriformes; Anatidae
Exons: 5
Source: RefSeq, a predicted model, not a curated record
UUUGGAACUGAAGUUUUAAGAGCAUGUGAUCAAACACUUGAGAAUAUUCCUAGAGACUGAAUCUUCUCCAGGUAUAUGCAUGGGCCACAUGAGCUAAUGUACCAAACAGGUGAAUGUGCUUGAGGGGUAGAAAAGAAUGAAGAUACCCAACAAGAAUGACCAAAAGUCAAUACUGUCUUUGCUAUGACCAGUUUCUGGAGAAGGAAGCCAUAUCUAUUUCCUAGAGAAGAAAUGUUCAUGUGUCCGUGAAAGGAAGAGAUGAUUAAAGCUGCAGUACAGGAGACUGUCUUCCCUUAGAAAGUGAGCUGGGAGGAGAAAGUCAAUACUAAGGAAUCUUCUGAAUACUGAAGGAGUACGUUGCCAGGGUAACAGAGUGUAAGCAGGAGAACAGCACCUUGCAGAUCACAAAGGCAAAUCUGCAGAAAGAAAUUUCAAGCACAACAGUAAGAAAACACUUCGAGCUGAAGCUGACCAUGCAAGAGAACAGCUGCAUGCAAGACAGGACAACAGCGUUCUUAGCAAAUUGGGCAUGAGUCCUAUAACUUCAUAUAUUUUCUUAUAUCUCCAGGUUCAGAUUGCUUUCAGUCCUAUGGAAGCAUUCAUAAUAAGAUGCUUGGACUCUUGUUAACACUAAUGUCUGUUUAAGCAUAUGAACAAACAAGUUUUAAAAUGUAGAAAGUCAGAAGGAUUAUUAUCUGUUCUUUGUGGAAAUUGAUGGGGAAGCCCAAGGCAAGAUGGCAGAAUCUGCACUUGUAGGUGGGACAGUAGUUAUUCACUGUCUCAACAUAAAAGGGUUUAUCUUUGCACUGAUUUA